Molecule: ribosomal RNA, 497 nt
Filed under: uncultured bacterium
Lineage: Bacteria
Description: partial 16S ribosomal RNA
Rfam family: Bacterial small subunit ribosomal RNA
Source: RNAcentral
GAUGAACGCUGGCGGCGUGCCUAAUACAUGCAAGUCGAGCGAACGGACGAGAAGCUUGCUUCUCUGAUGUUAGCGGCGGACGGGUGAGUAACACGUGGAUAACCUACCUAUAAGACUGGGAUAACUUCGGGAAACCGGCGCUAAUACCGGAUAAUAUUUUGAACCGCAUGGUUCAAAAGUGAAAGACGGUCUUGCUGUCACUUAUAGAUGGAUCCGCGCUGCAUUAGCUAGUUGGUAAGGUAACGGCUUACCAAGGCAACGAUGCAUAGCCGACCUGAGAGGGUGAUCGGCCACACUGGAACUGAGACACGGUCCAGACUCCUACGGGAGGCAGCAGUAGGGAAUCUUCCGCAAUGGGCGAAAGCAUGACGGAGCAACGCCGCGUGAGUGAUGAAGGUCUUCGGAUCGUAAAACUCUGUUAUUAGGGAAGAACAUAUGUGUAAGUAACUGUGCACAUCUUGACGGUACCUAAUCAGAAAGCCACGGCUAACUACGUG